Molecule: non-coding RNA, 521 nt
Organism: Marmota flaviventris (yellow-bellied marmot)
Lineage: Eukaryota; Metazoa; Chordata; Mammalia; Rodentia; Sciuridae
Source: RefSeq, a predicted model, not a curated record
GGUCCUGGUGGCCCAGGAGGUCCCGAGAAUCCUGGUGAUCCUGAUGACCCUGGUGAUCCUGGUGGCGCAGGUGAUCCUGGAGGCCCUGGUGUCGCAGGAGAGGCAGAUGCUGCAGUUGGUGUCCUUCCACACUCGCCAGGGCCUGGUGGAGAUGCUGCGCCAGCCGCUGGAGGUCCAGAUGAUUAACUGCUGAAGAUCCUGGCCAACUCCAAACUUCCAUUUCCUUCUGUCUUGACUGGCUUUCCCUGGUGGUGCGGAUCCUGCAGCUCUUCGUGCCCCCAGUUUUCACUAAGCCUCAGCAGGGAGAAUAGGACUAAGCUUUACCUUGAGCACCAUUUUAGGCAGUAAAUCCUUCCCUUGGCUGAUGAUUCCUACAGUAAAUACUGUAGGAUAUCCUACUUUGCUUUGGGGGAGCCUAAUUUUUUUUUUUUUUUUAUAAUUUGGCUCCUAGGCUUUAGGAUCUAUUUGUUUUGUUUCGUAAUCAAAUGUUUGUUACUCCAGAAAAUAAAUCUGAGAUGCUA